CUGGUGUUCGGGUUGUCAUGCCAAUGGCAUUGCCCGGUAGCUACGUUCGGAACUGAUAAGCGCUGAAAGCAUCUAAGCGCGAAGCAGGCCUCGAGAUGAGUUCUCACUAGACUUUUAAAGUCUCUGAAGGGCCGUUGAAGACUACAACGUUGAUAGGCAAGAUGUGGAAGUGGUGUGAGCCAUUAAGCUAACUUGUACUAAUUACCCGUGAGGCUUAACCAUACAACGCCAAACGCGUUUUG
RNAcentral lists this ribosomal RNA (242 nucleotides) under Pseudoalteromonas sp. 10-33. RNAcentral's name for it is "partial 23S ribosomal RNA". It matches the Rfam family "Bacterial large subunit ribosomal RNA", at positions 2709 to 2925 of the family's 2925-position model. Lineage: Bacteria; Pseudomonadati; Pseudomonadota; Gammaproteobacteria; Alteromonadales; Pseudoalteromonadaceae. The record is from RNAcentral.